Molecule: long non-coding RNA, 1829 nt
Filed under: Ananas comosus (pineapple)
Lineage: Eukaryota; Viridiplantae; Streptophyta; Magnoliopsida; Poales; Bromeliaceae
Description: long non-coding RNA (ACOM_LNC029612)
Source: RNAcentral
UAUAUUAUUUUUUAAACUAUUUGGUUAAUUUUAGUUGAUUUAAAUUGUUGGAAUAUAAUAUAGAUAGCUAAUUUAAAAAAUUUUAAAGUUUGGAUGCCAAAUGUGAAAUUUUUAAAACUUCCGUGGAUAUCAGAUUAGGAUGGAGAUGGAAUUUUGGAGGGCGUUUGUUUGGAGGACAGGGAGGGGGAUAAGGGGCUAUUCCUUCGUAUUUCCAAACACGAAAAAAAUAAGGGGCUGAGAUUUCUAUCCCAUCGGGUGGGAUAAGGUGGGAUAGCAACCCCACCUUUUGUGUGGGAAUAGAUGUGAGAAUAGUUGUUCUCACUCCUAUUUACUUUUUAAAAAAAUUUUAAAUUUAAAAUUUUAAAUUGAAUUUUAAAAUUUAAAAUUUAAAAUUUUAAUUUUAUAUUUUAAAAUUUAGAUUUAAUUUUAAAAUUUAAAAUUUAAAAUUUAGAACUUUGAAUUUUCAAAUUUGAGAUUUAAAAAUUUAAAUUUAAAUUUUAAAAUUUUAAAAUUAUAUAUUUAAAUUUAAAAAAUUAAACAUGAAAUUAAAAUUUUAAAUUCAAAUAUAAUAUAAGGGACAAUAUCAUUAUUUUCUAUUUAUAACUACCCACUAUUUUUCUUAUUCCAUCUUAUCUAUCAAAACACUAUUCAUUUUAUUCCCAGAGCAACUCAAUUUGCAUCCGAAUGUAAAAUUAGUCUAUUCUAGACUUAUAUCUAUCACUGCAAUAGGCAGUUCUUAUUUAUGCCCGAACCAAACGAAGCCUUAGCGAAUUUUUAGCAGAUUGGAGCAGAUUCGAGACUGAUUCAUUUUUUUCUUUAAUUUUAGCUCUCACUUGCUAUCCUAUUCAGAAGGGAUUAGUGUCCCCACCGAUCCGAAUCUAUUUGUAUCUUCAGGCAUAUAGAUUAAUUUGAUUAGUCCGUGCACAUCAGUUAAAGUACUACAUAGUUUGACAUCCACAAUCUCAGCUGCCUAAGAAUUUGAUCGUUGAUAUCCAAGGUGUAAAUUCAAAGCCUAGCUGCGUCGUAUUCCUAUUCUGUUUAUUUUUAAAUAUUCUGAAUUAAAGUUUAUGCCCUUUUUUUUUUCUUUUUUUUUUUUUUCUCAUGUGACAGUUGUAUGCCACAGUAGAGAGGGAGCACGGGGAGUGUACGUGGCAACAACAUCUAAAAAGAUCAAAACCCAGGCAUAGUUUAAUAGAUAGAUUACAUUACAUAGAUUAAACAAAUAAUAAUUAAAAAAAAGAGAAGUAUAAAUGUGGGGAGGAUGUUGGGAUUUAAAUGUUAAUAAUAAUAACACCACUAGAGAGGAUCCGUGCACGUGGGAAUGUCCCUGCGCGGGGAUAGAGAAAAUAAUUCCUGCACCAGGUGUGUUUUACAUUCCACAUGUAAUAUUGGAUUAAUUGUGUACAGGUCUUUAUAAAUAUAAUGAAUUAUAAAUAUAUUUCUACAAAAUUUAACUUUUAUAUGUUGUUCCUACAAAAAUACUAAUGUCUUCAAAUGUGUCCUUACCGUUAGAAUCCGUUAGAAAAUUUUAGUUAAUCAUAGGUUAACUGGUUAGUUUAUGAGAUAACUUGAUAUUUUAUCCCUCUUAUAUUAUACUGUUGUAAUUUUUGGAAGGACAUAUUUGUGAUAGCAAAAUUGAUAUUUCAUUUAUUCGCUAUUAAAAUAUAAACAGUUCUCUAACGGUAACAAACCAGAAUGACAUAUUUGAAAGCAUUAAAACUUUUAUAUGAACAAUAUAUGAAAAUUGAACUUUAUAGGAAUAUACUUGCAAUCCACUAUAUUUAUAGAAACCUGUAUGGAUUUAACCCUACAAUAAUUAGUAAUUAAUA